UUUUUUAUGGGUAAAAAGCAUGAGAAAUAAGGGUGGGUAAGACCGGUGCCAGCCGCCGCGGUAAUACCGGCAGCUCUAGUGGUAGCCACUUUUAUUGGGCCUAAAGCGUCUGUAGCCGGUCAGGUAAAUCCUUGGGUAAAUCGUACAGUUUAACUGUGCGGCUUCCGGGGAGACUGCUUGACUUGGGACCGGGAGAGGUUUGAGGUACUCCUGGGGUAGGGGUGAAAUCCUGUAAUCCUAGGUGGACCACCGGUGGCGAAGGCGUCCAACCGGAACGGCUCUGACGGUGAGGGACGAAGGCUAGGGGCGCAAACCGGAUUAGAUACCCGGGUAGUCCUAGCUGUAAACGCUGCAGACUUGGUGUUGGAGAUCCCACGAGGGUGUCCAGUGCCGGAGAGAAGUUGUUAAGUUUGCCGCCUGGGAAGUAUGGCCGCAAGGCUGAAACUUAAAGGAAUUGGCGGGGGAGCACCGCAACGGGAGGAGCGUGCGGUUUAAUUGGAUUCAACGCCGGAAAACUCACCGGGAGCGACGGUUAUAUGAAGGCCAGUUUAAAGACAUUGCCUGAUUUUCCGAGAGGUGGUGCAUGGCCGUCGUCAGUUCGUACCGCAAGGCGUUCUGUUAAGUCAGAUAACGAACGAGACCCCUGUCCUUAUUUGCUAAGUUAUCCUUUGGGAUGACAGCACUAUAGGGAGACCGCCACUGCUAAAGUGGAGGAAGGAGGGGGCAACGGUAGGUCAGUAUGCCCCGAAUCUCCCGGGCCACACGCGCGCUACAAAGGAUAGGACAAUGGGCUCCGACACCGAAAGGUGAAGGCAAUCUCGAAACCUAUUCAUAGUUCGGAUUGAGGGCUGUAACCCGCCCUCAUGAAGCUGGAUUCCGUAGUAAUCGCGGGUCAACAUCCCGCGGUGAAUAUGCCCCUGCUCCUUGCACACACCGCCCGUCAAACCAUCCGAGUUGGGUCUAAGUGAGGGCUUCUCUCUUUGGGGAGUCA
Molecule: ribosomal RNA, 991 nt
Filed under: uncultured euryarchaeote
Lineage: Archaea; Methanobacteriati; Methanobacteriota
Description: bacterial SSU rRNA
Rfam family: Archaeal small subunit ribosomal RNA
Source: RNAcentral